Molecule: ribosomal RNA, 483 nt
Filed under: uncultured bacterium
Lineage: Bacteria
Description: bacterial SSU rRNA
Rfam family: Bacterial small subunit ribosomal RNA
Source: RNAcentral
GAGUUUGAUCGUGGCUCAGAAUCAACGCUGGCGGCGUGCCUAACACAUGCAAGUCGAACGAGAAAGUGGAGCAAUCCAUGAGUACAGUGGCGACCGGGUGAGUAACACGUGACUAACCUACCCUCGAGUGGGGAAUAACUCCGGGAAACCGGAGCUAAUACCGCAUAACAUCGCAAGAUCAAAGCCGAAAGGCGCUUGAGGAGGGGGUCGCGGCUGAUUAGCUAGUUGGCGGGGUAAUGGCCCACCAAGGCGAAGAUCGGUAUCCGGCCUGAGAGGGCGCACGGACACACUGGAACUGAAACACGGUCCAGACUCCUACGGGAGGCAGCAGUGGGGAAUUUUGCGCAAUGGGGGAAACCCUGACGCAGCAACGCCGCGUGGAGGAUGAAGUCCCUUGGGAUGUAAACUCCUUUCGACCGGGAAGAUACUGACGGUACCGGAAGAAGAAGCACCGGCUAACUCUGUGCCAGCCGCCGCAGUAAG